Molecule: ribosomal RNA, 301 nt
Filed under: uncultured bacterium
Lineage: Bacteria
Description: partial 16S ribosomal RNA
Rfam family: Bacterial small subunit ribosomal RNA
Source: RNAcentral
CAGUCGCCACGGUAAUACGGAGGGUGCAAGCGUUAAUCGGAAUUACUGGGCGUAAAGCGUGCGUAGGCGGUUCGUUAAGUCUGUUGUGAAAGCCCCGGGCUCAACCUGGGAAUGGCAAUGGAUACUGGCGAGCUAGAGUGUGUCAGAGGAUGGUGGAAUUCCCGGUGUAGCGGUGAAGUGCGUAGAGAUCGGGAGGAACAUCAGUGGCGAAGGCGGCCAUCUGGGACAACACUGACGCUGAGGCACGAAAGCGUGGGGAGCAAACAGGAUUAGAUACCCGUGUAGUCCCUGUCUCUUAUAC